RNAcentral lists this ribosomal RNA (431 nucleotides) under uncultured bacterium. RNAcentral describes it as "bacterial SSU rRNA". It matches the Rfam family "Bacterial small subunit ribosomal RNA", at positions 355 to 796 of the family's 1533-position model. The record is from RNAcentral.
UCGAGGAUCUUCGGCAAUGGGCGCAAGCCUGACCGAGCGACGCCGCGUGCGCGAUGAAGGCCUUCGGGUUGUAAAGCGCUGUCGAGGGGGAGGAAGCCGCAAGGUUGACCUAUCCCUGGAGGAAGCACGGGCUAAGUUCGUGCCAGCAGCCGCGGUAAGACGAACCGUGCGAACGUUGUUCGGAUUCACUGGGCUUAAAGGGCGCGUAGGCGGGUGAUCAAGUCCGGGGUGAAAUCUUUCGGCUUAACCGGAAAAGUGCCUUGGAUACUGGUCGCCUGGAGGGAGGUAGGGGCAUGUGGAACUUCCGGUGGAGCGGUGAAAUGCGUAGAUAUCGGAAGGAACGCCGGUGGCGAAAGCGACAUGCUGGACCUCUUCUGACGCUGAUGCGCGAAAGCUAGGGGAGCAAACGGGAUUAGAUACCCGCGUAGUCC